This 255-nucleotide ribosomal RNA is filed under the name uncultured bacterium. RNAcentral's name for it is "partial 16S ribosomal RNA". It matches the Rfam family "Bacterial small subunit ribosomal RNA", at positions 99 to 354 of the family's 1533-position model. The record is from RNAcentral.
CGGACGGGUGAGUAACGCGUGGAUAACCUGCCUUACACUGGGGGAUAACACUUAGAAAUAGGUGCUAAUACCGCAUAAGCGCACAGAGCCGCAUGGCUCAGUGUGAAAAACUUCGGUGGUGUAAGAUGGAUCCGCGUCUGAUUAGCCGGUUGGCGGGGUAGAAGCCCACCAAGGCGACGAUCAGUAGCCGGCCUGAGAGGGUGAACGGCCACAUUGGGACUGAGACACGGCCCAAACUCCUACGGGAGGCAGCAG